Molecule: ribosomal RNA, 846 nt
Filed under: Thozetella moganshanensis
Lineage: Eukaryota; Fungi; Ascomycota; Sordariomycetes; Chaetosphaeriales; Chaetosphaeriaceae
Description: partial large subunit ribosomal RNA
Rfam family: Eukaryotic large subunit ribosomal RNA
Source: RNAcentral
CCAACAGGGAUUGCCUCAGUAACGGCGAGUGAAGCGGCAACAGCUCAAAUUUGAAAUCUGGCCCCCCGGCCCGAGUUGUAAUUUGCAGAGGAUGCUUCUGGCGCGGUGCCUUCCAAGUCCCCUGGAACGGGGCGCCAUAGAGGGUGAGAGCCCCGUCUGGUCGGCCACCAAGCCUGUGUGAAGCUCCUUCGACGAGUCGAGUAGUUUGGGAAUGCUGCUCUAAAUGGGAGGUAGACCCCUUCUAAAGCUAAAUAUUGGCCAGAGACCGAUAGCGCACAAGUAGAGUGAUCGAAAGAUGAAAAGCACUUUGAAAAGAGGGUUAAACAGUACGUGAAAUUGUUGAAAGGGAAGCGCUUGUGACCAGACGUGCGCCGGGGUGUUCAGCGGGCGUUCUCGCCCGUGCACUCGCCCCGGCGCAGGCCAGCGUCGGUUUGGGCGGGGGGAUAAAGGCGCCGGGAACGUAGCUCCUCCGGGAGUGUUAUAGCCCGGCGUGUCAUGCUCCCGCCCGGACCGAGGUUCGCGCUCCGCAAGGACGCUGGCGUAAUGGUCCCCAGCGGCCCGUCUUGAAACACGGACCAAGGAGUCGAGGUUUUACGCGAGUGUUUGGGUGUCAAACCCGCACGCGUAAUGAAAGUGAACGCAGGUGGGAGCUUCGGCGCACCACCGACCGAUCCUGAUGUUCUCGGAUGGAUUUGAGUAGGAGCGUAGGGCCUCGGACCCGAAAGAUGGUGAACUAUACGUGGAUAGGGUGAAGCCAGAGGAAACUCUGGUGGAGGCUCGCAGCGGUUCUGACGUGCAAAUCGAUCGUCAAAUCUGCGUAUGGGGGCGAAAGACUAAUCGAACCAU